This 433-nucleotide ribosomal RNA is filed under the name uncultured bacterium. Its description in RNAcentral is "partial 16S ribosomal RNA". It matches the Rfam family "Bacterial small subunit ribosomal RNA", at positions 29 to 507 of the family's 1533-position model. The record is from RNAcentral.
AACGAACGCUGGCGGCAUGCCUAACACAUCCAAGUCGAACGAAACCUUCGGGUCUAGUGGCGCACGGGUGCGUAACGCGUGGGAACCUGCCCUUAGGUUCGGAAUAACUCCCCGAAAGGGGUGCUAAUACCGGAUAAUGUCUUCGGACCAAAGAUUUAUCGCCUUUGGAUGGGCCCGCGUUGGAUUAGCUAGUUGGUAGGGUAAAAGCCUACCAAGGCGACGAUCCAUAGCUGGUCUGAGAGGAUGAUCAGCCACACUGGGACUGAGACACGGCCCAGACUCCUACGGGAGGCAGCAGUGGGGAAUAUUGGAGAAGGGGCGAAAGGCUGAUCCAGCAAUGCCGCGUGAGUGAUGAAGGCGUUAGGGUUGUAAAGCUCUUUUGCCCGGGAUGAUAAUGACAGUACCGGGAGAAUAAGCACCGGCUAACUCCGUG